UAAACAGCAAGUCCAUAGGCUAGAACUUUAUUUUGACUAAUUGAACACUGCCAUCUGCUGCACAGAUCUGGGAAAUAGGAGGUAUUAGAUUUCCAGGAGGAAGGUGUUUCCUUCAAAAUAACAAAAGUUUGCUUGCUUUAUUUCUUGUCCCUUUGACCUCACUUUCCAAGUGAAAAGACGCAGAAUAUAAAAACAAAAAGGUCAAAAUAGCCUUGCAGAGGCCACUCUGACUUAUAUGAAAGGGUAGAGCUCAACUUUACAGGUCAGGUGGGAUUUGAAUAAGCCUCAUGGUGAAAAGAAGGGAUGGUAUGAGGAGAACUAAUAGUAGGAUCAUAGUUAGCAGCCCUGGGGGAAACACUGGCCUGGAGGCAACCCUGAGCAUGCCCACUUCCUAGCUGGGUGCCGAGGCGAAGUCCCGGCAUGUAUAACAUUGGGAUAAUAAUGGUGGAAACCUCUUAGAUUGUUGGGAGAUUUAGUGAAAUGAGCUAUGUCUUGUUUUUAGGACAGUACCUGUUAGUACUUAACAAAUAUUAGCUGCUGCUUUUGAAACUCAGACUGGGAAGAAAUAAAGGAAGUUGAUUAAAAAUUCACUAGCACCUUUGGAAUAAACUCCACAUUAGCCCCAUUCUCCCAAAUAGAUUUGAAGCAAGGAAGUGAAAGGAGUCAGGUGAUGAGAUUUUUCAACUUCAGCAGAGUGUAAACACAGAUCAACAACAGUAACAACUACCUUUCAAUGAGACUUUAUGCACCAGGUGUGGCUCUGUGUGUUACAUGUGUUAACUCAUUUAAUUUUUAUAUCAACUCCAUGAGGUGGGAACUUUUAGUAUUCUCAUUUUAUAGAUGAGGAAACAGGCACAGAGAGGGGCUAAGUGUAUUCAAGGUCAUGUGGCCAAUGAAUGACAGAACUAGCGUGAUGGUUAAUUGCUACGGCUAAGAGAUGCCCAGGUGGCCAGUUGGAUGUUACUUGUAAGAUCUUUCUGGAAGAGAUUAGCAUUUGAACCAGCAGACUGAAUAAAGAUCAUCCUCACCAAUGUGGGUUGGCAUUAUCGAAUUUCGUGAGAGCUUGAAUAGAACAAAAAGAAGAAAAGCAAAUUUGCUCUCUUCUUGUACUGGGAUAUCCACCUUCUUUGCUUAGUGGCUCCUUUGGUUCUUAGGCUUUUGAACCCAGGCUGAAUCACCACUGGCUUUCCUAGGGCUCCAGGCUGCAGAUGGCAGAUCAUGGGACUUCUUGGUCUCUACAAUUACUAUUAUGCUGAUCCAUUAUAUUGAUGAUAUCAUGAAGAUAUGAGGUAAAAAGGAGAAAACAGUGAAGAAUGGUGGAAGCCUUAAGGUAUAUGUGCACCAGUGGGCAGAAGAAAUCCCUACAGAAUUUCAGCAGCCGGCCAAAAUGAUUUUCUACCAAAUAAAAAAAGGUGACCUUCACUCUUCAAAAUUAUCAAAAGAAGAAUGAGGAACUGUUCCAGAUUAAAGACAUGACAACCAAA
Homo sapiens (human) is the source of this 1484-nucleotide long non-coding RNA. RefSeq lists it as uncharacterized. NCBI's taxonomy places the organism in Eukaryota, Metazoa, Chordata, Mammalia, Primates, Hominidae. The record is from RefSeq and is a predicted model, not a curated record. The transcript has 3 exons.